RNAcentral lists this ribosomal RNA (489 nucleotides) under uncultured bacterium. RNAcentral describes it as "bacterial SSU rRNA". It matches the Rfam family "Bacterial small subunit ribosomal RNA", at positions 28 to 507 of the family's 1533-position model. The record is from RNAcentral.
GAUGAACGCUAGCGGCAGGCCUAACACAUGCAAGUCGAGGGGCAUCAUGGCGUAGCAAUACGCUGAUGGCGACCGGCGCACGGGUGCGUAACGCGUAUGGAACCUACCCACCGCAGGGGGAUAACCCGCCGAAAGGCGGACUAAUACCCCAUGGUUCCCCGACCCUGCCUGGGGUUGGGGGUAAAGCCUACGGGCGGCGGUGGAUGGCCCUGCGUGCCAUUAGCUGGCUGGUGGGGUAACGGCCCACCAGGGCGACGAUGGCUAGGGGGUCUGAGAGGACGAUCCCCCACACUGGUACUGAGACACGGACCAGACUCCUACGGGAGGCAGCAGUGAGGAAUAUUGGUCAAUGGGCGGAAGCCUGAACCAGCCAUGCCGCGUGCAGGAUGACGGCCCUACGGGUUGUAAACUGCUUUUCCAGGGAGAGAAACUUACGCACGUGUUGCGUGACUGACGGUACCCUGGGAAUAAGCAUCGGCUAACUCCGUG